RNAcentral lists this unclassified non-coding RNA (175 nucleotides) under uncultured Cladophialophora. RNAcentral's name for it is "sequence contains ITS2". The record is from RNAcentral. Lineage: Eukaryota; Fungi; Ascomycota; Eurotiomycetes; Chaetothyriales; Herpotrichiellaceae.
UCACCCCUCAAGCCCCGUGCUUGGUGUUGGACGGCUGGUCGAGAAAUCGCACCCCUCCUCAUGAUAACGACGGCGACCUGUGGUUCCCCCGGUACAAUGAGCUUCUCACAGAGCACGUAUCGGACAAGGGCGCCCAGGACCCGGUCUUCUCCUCUCACGAGGAACUAUUUUACAA